GACGAACGCUGGCGGCGUGCUUAACACAUGCAAGUCGAACGGAAAGGCCCCCUUGUGGGGUACUCGAGUGGCGAACGGGUGAGUAACACGUGAGUAACCUACCCUUGACUUUGGGAUAACUUCAGGAAACUGGGGCUAAUACCGGAUAGGAGCUCCUGCUGCAUGGUGGGGGUUGGAAAGUUUCGGCGGUUGGGGAUGGACUCGCGGCUUAUCAGCUUGUUGGUGGGGUAGUGGCUCACCAAGGCUUUGACGGGUAGCCGGCCUGAGAGGGUGACCGGCCACAUUGGGACUGAGAUACGGCCCAGACUCCUAAGGGAGGCAGGAGUGGGGAAUAUUGCACAAUGGGCGGAAGCCUGAUGCAGCAACGCCGCGUGCGGGAUGACGGCCUUCGGGUUGUAAACCGCUUUCGCCUGUGACGAAGCGUGAGUGACGGUAAUGGGUAAAGAAGCACCGGCUAACUACGUG
RNAcentral lists this ribosomal RNA (465 nucleotides) under uncultured bacterium. RNAcentral describes it as "partial 16S ribosomal RNA". It matches the Rfam family "Bacterial small subunit ribosomal RNA", at positions 28 to 507 of the family's 1533-position model. The record is from RNAcentral.